CCAGGAGCAGCUGGAGGAGAGGCGGAGAGAGAGAGGGCUCCAUCGGGGAAGGCCUGUGACGGGCUUUCUCUCCCAGAGCGGCAAAUACCAGGGCCCCUUUGUGGAAUGUGGAGCUGCUCAGAGGACAAGUCGCCCUACUGCUUUCUGGAGGAAGCUGAGAGACUUGGCUUAAGCCACAGAACUAGACGGUGGAUGACAAGCCUAGGACUCGGACUCUGCGACCUUUGCUUCUGUAUUCAUUCUACCUCCCUCUUACUUGGAAGAUUGUCUCCUGGGAAAGAAAAAGUCAUCUGUGAGAUCUCCCAAGGAAAGAUCCCGAUCAGUAUAAGCCGUUCAAUCUACGGCCCGCAGCAGGGCUGGAAACGAACAAGAAAAACUUCCCUCCCAGGCUCCACUCCAGCCCAGAAGGCGGCCUCAGAGCCUUCUGCAAUGCAGCCAUCGUGCAGUGCUUCACGAGAUAUGGACACGGAUGCCCUGAAGUCUCCUGGUCAGGCCUAACCUCUAGCCCAUUCCCCACCACAGGAGACAAUUGGUUUCUGGUUGCCUACAGCACCUUGAAUCUUACGGGCUAUUACCUCCUUCCCCUACUCAUCAUUAUGUGAAAUCUUGGCAAAGAUUAGUCCAAGUGCCCGCUUCUCAUAGGGAAGCUGAGGGGAUGGGCUCCUCCUUCGAGCUGCCCUCUUCUAAAGUAGGGUCAGGUAGAAGGAUGAUCAGAUUGUCUCUCCUGACUCUGAAAAGAGGCUUUCCCAGCACAUGCUGUCUACUGUGUCUCAGCCUCCAUCUUCCUACUUCUUGGCCUCUGGAGAUAAGAGACUGCCUGGAGAGCAGGGAGCUUUUCGUGUUUUACCAUACUUCCCAUGCUACUCAGAAGAAGAGCCAAGAUUGUAUUUCUUAGAGGCCUUUUAUUUCCUGGGUGCUAUCUGCCUGGCUUCAUGGAGGACGGAGAUGGUGUUGGAACUUGGAGGAUAUGGAAGGCUUUCUGGAUGGUUGCAAUGGGCUGAAUAAAGAGACAAGAUAUUGAUUGAAUUCUGGAGAAGGCAAUACUAUCAAAGGUAGACAAGAUCUAGCUCUGGUUUGUGCUUCAAUUCUGAGUUGCUGCUUCUGAAGAAAUCCUUGUGAUGUCAUCAAUUAAUAAAGGAGCAAUAGGCCCUGGGGAUACAGUGAUGAGUCGAAAGGGAUGAAGGCUUAUAGCAUAAAAGGAGAGACACAUGUCAAUCAACAGUGAUGCUAAUGGAUCCAUGAGCAUAAAUGGAGAGAAAUACUGUAAAGAAAAGAAUCACAGUUUGGUGAGAACCAAAGCAAAGGAACUUGGCCAAAACUGGGAGUCUAGGAAGGCUUCCCAGGCCAAGCGAGGAUCGAGCUAAAGUCUGAAGAACAGGAGGGAGUCUCCGAGGGAAGAGGAGAGGAGAGAGCAAGUUGCAAAGACAGAGAGACAGGCAGAGAGAAGAGCAGGAGUGAGGCAAGUCAUAGUCCAGGGAGGAGAGUUAAAGA
Molecule: long non-coding RNA, 1491 nt
Filed under: Equus caballus (horse)
Lineage: Eukaryota; Metazoa; Chordata; Mammalia; Perissodactyla; Equidae
Description: lncRNA (ENSECAG00000032977.3)
Source: RNAcentral